RNAcentral lists this ribosomal RNA (253 nucleotides) under uncultured bacterium. Its description in RNAcentral is "partial 16S ribosomal RNA". It matches the Rfam family "Bacterial small subunit ribosomal RNA", at positions 524 to 776 of the family's 1533-position model. The record is from RNAcentral.
GACGUAGGGCGCGAGCGUUGUCCGGAUUUAUUGGGCGUAAAGAGCUCGUAGGCGGCUUGUUGCGUCGACUGUGAAAACCCGCGGCUUAACUGCGGGCUUGCAGUUGAUACGGGCAGGCUAGAGUUCGGUAGGGGAGACUGGAAUUCCUGGUGUAGCGGUGAAAUGCGCAGAUAUCAGGAAGAACACCAAUGGCGAAGGCAGCUCUCUGGGACGGUACUGACGCUGAGACGCGAAAGCGUGGGGAGCGAACAGG